UACGGAAGGUGCGAGCGUUGUUCGGAAUUACUGGGCGUAAAGGGCGCGUAGGCGGAUUCGUAAGUCGAUUGUGAAAUACCUGGGCUUAACUUGGGAAUUGCAGUCGAAACUACGAACCUUGAAUGUCAGAGAGGGUGGGGGAAUUCCUGGUGUAGAAGUGAAAUUCGUAGAGAUCAGGAGGAACACCGGAGGCGAAGGCGCCUACCUGGCUGUGCAUUGACGCUGAGGCGCGAAAGCGUGGGUAG
Molecule: ribosomal RNA, 245 nt
Filed under: uncultured bacterium
Lineage: Bacteria
Description: partial 16S ribosomal RNA
Rfam family: Bacterial small subunit ribosomal RNA
Source: RNAcentral